RNAcentral lists this ribosomal RNA (700 nucleotides) under uncultured Eubacteriales bacterium. RNAcentral's name for it is "bacterial SSU rRNA". It matches the Rfam family "Bacterial small subunit ribosomal RNA", at positions 60 to 760 of the family's 1533-position model. Lineage: Bacteria; Bacillati; Bacillota; Clostridia; Eubacteriales. The record is from RNAcentral.
AGUCGAACGAUGAAAACUAGUUAAUCUCAUCGGAGUGAAACUAGUUGGAUUAGUGGCGAACGGGUGAGUAACGCGUGAGUAACCUGCCUUACACAAGGGGAUAGCCUCUGGAAACGGAGAAUAAUACCCUAUGAUAUUACUAGAUUGCAUAAUCAAGUAAUCAAAGUGUUUUAGCGGUGUAAGAUGGACUUGCGUCUGAUUAGCUAGUUGGUGAGAUAACAGCUCACCAAGGCAACGAUCAGUAGCCGGCUUGAGAGAGUGUACGGCCGCAUUGGGACUGAGACACGGCCCAGACUCCUACGGGAGGCAGCAGUGGGGAAUUUUGCACAAUGGGGGCAACCCUGAUGCAGCGACGCCGCGUGAUUUAUGAAGGCCUUCGGGUUGUAAAAAUCUUUUGUAUAGGAAGAAAAUGACAGUACUAUACGAAUAAGGUCCGGCUAAUUACGUGCCAGCAGCCGCGGUAAUACGUAAGGACCGAGCGUUGUCCGGAAUCAUUGGGCGUAAAGGGUACGUAGGCGGCCACUUAAGUUAGAAGUCAAAGGCUAUAGCUCAACUAUAGUAAGCUUCUAAAACUGUGUGGCUUGAGAGAUGGAAGGGAAAGUGGAAUUCCUAGUGUAGCGGUGAAAUGCGCAGAUAUUAGGAGGAAUACCGGUGGCGAAGGCGACUUUCUGGCCAUUAUCUGACGCUGAGGUACGAAAGC